UGGUAAACCCUUGCACCAUGGGAAAACAGCGGCCUUGUGAGGGGCCUGUUCAACCCAAAGUUUCCCGCAAACACCAAAGAAGAUCCAGAUGGAGGGAGACGUCAGUGGCGGAGCCGAAGUCUGGAUGGUGAUCAGCCAAUCAGACAGCAGAGGAGGAGGAGGUCUCGUUCCCGUGGCAACACAAGCAGCGGCAGUGAAUCAGAGACGAUGAUGAGUAACAACGAGCGGCGCGGGAGAAAGAAUCGGUAAUAAAAUCACUUCCUGUUUCCAGUGAGUGGUCACCAUGGUAACCAGACACCUGCCUCCACUGAGCCGGGCCAGACGUAUUAGGAUUGGCCAAUGGGAGCCACCAAUGCUAAUUUCUAAGUCUAUUAGUUUUACUAAAUGAUACAACGAGGCUAAUGCUAAUGCUAAUGCUCUCUCUCUCUUUGUAGACAGAGUCCUGAUGUCCUCAUAUGGCAACAAAUCCAGAAACAGCUGGUGGAUCCCAACACUCACCUCAACAGGCAGACAGAGGAAAUACCUUAUAUGGAAGUGAGAGUGUCCGGAGAGCCAAUCAGAGCACGUCAAUCUCCGAGGAGGCGGCGACAUCGUCGCUGUGCUUCAGCGUCAGACUUCCUUUCAGAGCCGGAGCUCGUUCCUCCUCUUCCUGUCACCAAGACAACAGGCACCGUCUGCCAAUCACCCACCGGUCCCUGAGCUGCUGCCAGUUGGUUUCCAGUGACGA
Hippoglossus stenolepis (Pacific halibut) is the source of this 727-nucleotide long non-coding RNA. RefSeq lists it as uncharacterized. The transcript is spliced from 7 exons. The record is from RefSeq and is a predicted model, not a curated record. NCBI's taxonomy places the organism in Eukaryota, Metazoa, Chordata, Actinopteri, Pleuronectiformes, Pleuronectidae.